Coffea eugenioides is the source of this 209-nucleotide long non-coding RNA. RefSeq lists it as uncharacterized. The transcript has 3 exons. Lineage: Eukaryota; Viridiplantae; Streptophyta; Magnoliopsida; Gentianales; Rubiaceae. The record is from RefSeq and is a predicted model, not a curated record.
UGCCAUGAAUGACAUAGUUGGAGCAGACAAACAUUUGUUUCCCAGAAUACAAAAUUAUGGUUCAUUGCAGUUCUUGACAUUGAGGAACUGUUCACUCACUGGUCCAAUUCCUGAUCAUAUCUGGAAGUUGAAAUCCUUGACUUACCUGGACUUGAGUUUCAACAGUUUGGUUGGAGGAAUUCCACCAGAUGUGGAUUUGCCAAACAUAC